GCUUUUAUAGUUUAUAAAAAUAUUAGUCUUGUAAACUAAAGUAGGUAAAACCUAAAAGCUC
Molecule: transfer RNA, 61 nt
Filed under: Pandorites podoceroides
Lineage: Eukaryota; Metazoa; Arthropoda; Malacostraca; Amphipoda; Pontogammaridae
Description: tRNA-Thr
Rfam family: tRNA
About the family: Transfer RNA (tRNA) molecules are approximately 80 nucleotides in length. Their secondary structure includes four short double-helical elements and three loops (D, anti-codon, and T loops).
Source: RNAcentral